AUGGCAACCGGCGGGAGGCCAACCACCAUGCGCGCCGUCCAGUACAGUGGCUACGGUGGUGGCAGCGCUGCCCUCAAGUAUGUGGAGAUCCCUGUUCCAUCACUGAAAAAAGGUGAAGUUCUUAUAAAAGUUGAAGCAGCAAGCAUCAAUCCAGCCGAUUGUCGGAUACAGAAGGGACUGCUACGUCCUUUUGUCCCUCAAUUUCCAUUUAUUCCAGUAACCGACGUUGCUGGAGAGAUUGUCGAGGUUGGUUCUGCGGUUCAAGAGUUCAAAGUUGGCGACAAGGUUGUCUCCAAGUUGAUAUUCUGGAAAGCUGGUGGCCUCGCAGAGUACGUGGCGGCAUCCGAGAGCAUCACCGUCCCCCUCCCUGCCGGCGUGUCCUCUGCGGAUGCCGCAGGGCUUCCCGUGGCCGGCCUCACGGUGCUUCAGGCCGUGAAGGCCAUCGGCACCAAGUUUGACGGCACGGGCGUUGGCAGCAACAUCCUGAUCACCGCUGCGUCCGGCGGCAUCGGCUCGUACGCCGUCCAGCUCGCUAAGCUCGGGAACCACAACGUCACGGCCACCUGCGGCGCGCGCAACCUGGAGCUUGUCGCGGACAUGGGCGCCGACGAGGCGCUCGACUACAAGACCCCGGAAGGCGCGGCACUGAAGAACUCUUCCGGCAAGAAGUACGACUACAUCGUCAACACCACGAACGGCGGCAAGUGGUCGGCGUUCAAGCCGAGUCUCAGCAGCCACGGCAGAGUCGUCGACGUAGCUCCCAACUUUGGGAACUUUGUCGCGUCCAUUCUGACGCUAUUCUCCAAGAAGAAGCUGUCCACGGUUAUCCUGUCGCUGGGUAUGGAGGACCUCAGGUUUUUGCUUGAGCUGGUGAAGGAAAGGAAGCUCAAGACGGUCAUCGACUCGCGGCAUCCAUUCGAGAAGGCGGCAGAUGCGUGGGAAAAGAGCUUGAGCGGCCAUGCAACGGGGAAGGUCAUAGUUGGCAUGUGA
This 990-nucleotide ribosomal RNA is filed under the name Triticum aestivum (bread wheat). RNAcentral's name for it is "partial small subunit ribosomal RNA". Lineage: Eukaryota; Viridiplantae; Streptophyta; Magnoliopsida; Poales; Poaceae. The record is from RNAcentral.